Acinonyx jubatus (cheetah) is the source of this 2189-nucleotide long non-coding RNA. RefSeq lists it as uncharacterized. The record is from RefSeq and is a predicted model, not a curated record. The transcript has 4 exons. NCBI's taxonomy places the organism in Eukaryota, Metazoa, Chordata, Mammalia, Carnivora, Felidae.
AAUGGACUGAGCCACCCAGGCACCCGAGAACUGGUGUCUUUAUAAGAUGACAAGACACCAGGGGCAUGUGCAAAAAGAAAAGACUAUGUGAGGACACAGCAAGAAAGCAGUCACCUGCAAGCCAAGAGAGGACUCAGGAGAAACCAAAUGUGUCCACACCUUGACCUCAGACUUCCAGCAUCCAGAACUAGAAAAAGUGCUGGCGAUUUGUAGAAGACAUGUGCUGACCGGAAACCUGAAAUCUUUGAAAUUGACUGGAAACUACUGCCACCUGAUCCCUGAGAUCUGGAAACAGUUAAAGCAGCCAUGAAAGAUACACACGUGGGGUGUGAAAGCAAUACAGAAGUGCAAGUAUCACUGGAAGAAACGGAACAGCUCUUCAAGGAAUGAGACGAUACAAAGGUCAAUUAUUUGGAAAGCCAUUAGGUUGUUGGGAGUUCCAGUUCAAGAUGGUGACAGAGGAGGAUCCCUGGCUCACCUCUUUCCGCUGACAUACUGAAUCUGAAGCCACAUGUCGAACCACCUCCUGGGACAAAACCUAAGAGCAGACCAACUCUUACCCAACCAGGCUAAAGACAGAACGUCCACAUCGAAGGCGGGAAGAGGGGCUGGGGCACAAACUCGCCAUUAAACCCCAACCCCUACAAGGUGAUCCAGGUGGGAGAGAGCUGAGCUUCUCCCCAAGUGAGGAGUCUGAACCCCACAGCGGGCACCCACAUGGGAAGAAACGCUCCCCGCCCCCCUCCCCCACACCAAACGUCCAGCUUUGCAAACCAAACGUCCACAAGACCCACAAGACUAAAAAGCUGAGGAACGGCUCUUCAAAGGCUCUCACAAGGACUCACCCGCCCCAGGGUUCAAGCGCAGAAGCAGCCAAUCCAGAAGCUCCCAACUUUGUGGCCCUAUGGGCGCCAUUUACUGAUCUUCAAGUCGCAGCCUGAGGGUCAGGCAUGUAAUCUAGACACACGCAGAGGCUGCUGGCUGGCAGCCACCAUCUCCAGCUCUCCCUCUCUCGGCCUCACUUCAGCUAACAGGCGCCAUUUUUGUCCCCCUAAUUUAAUGCUAGGGUUUUUUUCUUUCUUUCUUUUUCACAGAAAAAGAAAUACACGUUUCCUCUACCACAUACCAAAGCGUGUGCAUCUCCCAGAGCACUGCUUUUACACAUGUCCGUUGGCCGGCGUUCCGCUACUGCUACGCGGUGACCUCCCGGCUCGGGAGGGCAGGGGAGCGUGUGUUCCUGGGUCUCGCGAGACCACAGCCAUGAGCGCGAACGUUCUUGGUAGCCUACCAACUCCAGGGCCCUGCGUUGAUAACAUAUUGGAGCAGACACCUAGUCUUUCUGAGACAGAGGCCUAUUUGCCUGUCCUGGAGCUUUGGCCUUGAGGGACAGGCUUCUGAUCUGACACACAUCUACAGGCCACACAUGAGCUCUCAGGAAACAAAGGCCGGUGGAUGCCAUCUUCUCGGUCUCCCUCUGCCUUGCACCAGCUCACCUGUGUAUUGCAGAAAAGAGCUUAGACCCUCAGCUGGUGCCCAAUUUUUGUGGACAUCCAUACAUGACUCUGGUGGCCAGGGGGAAUUACGCUCAUGGGUCCCACACAACUGCAAUCAAUGGAGAGAGUUCUUAAGUAGCUCCCAAUCUCCAGGGACAGCUGGAAGCAACAGACCCAGGAGCUCCAUGUUUCUUAAAAGGAACCCAUUAGCCUACCUCCAUAGUUACAGCCUGAGGGGCAGGCUUCAAAUGAAAACAAGCAUCUGAGGGCUCACUGUUAUCCUUUCCAGAGACCUCAGAGGGCUGGCCACUAUCUUUGCAUUCCCUGAGCUGCAUUCUAGAGCACCACAAGCCUGACUAUAACUAUAGUUAAUAAUACUGGAUUGCAUAUUUGAAAGUAGCUAAGAGGGUGGAUCUUGAAACUUCUCACCUCAAGAAAAAAAAUAUAUAGCUAUGCAUGGUGAUGGAUGUUAACUGAACCUGCUGUGAUUAUUUUGUAACAUAAUACACAAAUAUUGAAUUAUUACAUUGCAUGCCUGAAACUAAUAUAUCAAUUAUACCUUAAUAAAAGAAAAAAGAAAAAAAAUAAUUUGUUUGAGCUGCGUGCUACUUAUUGGUGGUAACAAGGAUUAUAAACAAUGACGCCUCAAAUGAGGAUGAACACUGUGAAGGUACUUACUGAGUCCUUAAGCAGAAU